GGAGAGGUGCUGGAGUGGUCGAUCAGGGCUGCCUGCUAAGCAGUUACACGGUCAAAAGCUGUGUCGAGGGUUCGAAUCCCUCCCUCUCCGCCA
RNAcentral lists this transfer RNA (93 nucleotides) under Acidobacteria bacterium RIFCSPLOWO2_12_FULL_54_10. Its description in RNAcentral is "tRNA-Ser". It matches the Rfam family "tRNA". From Rfam's summary of the family: Transfer RNA (tRNA) molecules are approximately 80 nucleotides in length. The record is from RNAcentral. Lineage: Bacteria; Pseudomonadati; Acidobacteriota.